Molecule: small RNA, 388 nt
Filed under: Arabidopsis thaliana (thale cress)
Lineage: Eukaryota; Viridiplantae; Streptophyta; Magnoliopsida; Brassicales; Brassicaceae
Description: ATSL095180
Source: RNAcentral
GGUGAGGUGUCUCAACCCGACAGUUCAUAAAGUUGGCGGCUUUGUUAAAGCUUUACCACCUGAUAUAACCCUGUUUUUACUGAUUUUAUUUAUUUUUUAGGAUAAGGAUUUUGAGUCUUUAUGUUAUUUUUCGAGUCUUUUUAAUGUCUAUUCAGGUAUUCUGUCAAGUGGGACAACAAUGGAGAUGAGGAGACAUUUUGGAACAAGAGCUAAGGAAAAGGAAACUAAGAACGAUUUCAGAUUCCAGAUUCAGAGGGAGUGUCCAUCGACACCAUUUUUCGGCCCAGAAAAGUCCAUGGUGCUUUCAAGUUAACCGAAGUGGAAAUUUGCCCCAAAAGACUUCCCUAUUUGCAUUAUUAGUCCUUGGACGUUUUAUAGGGUUUAUAUA